This 427-nucleotide ribosomal RNA is filed under the name uncultured bacterium. RNAcentral's name for it is "partial 16S ribosomal RNA". It matches the Rfam family "Bacterial small subunit ribosomal RNA", at positions 355 to 774 of the family's 1533-position model. The record is from RNAcentral.
UGGGGAAUAUUGGACAAUGGGGGCAACCCUGAUCCAGCCAUGCCGUGUGUGUGAAGAAGGCCUUUUGGUUGUAAAGCACUUUAAGCAGUGAAGAAGACUCCAUGGUUAAUACCCAUGGACGAUGACAUUAGCUGCAGAAUAAGCACCGGCUAACUCUGUGCCAGCAGCCGCGGUAAUACAGAGGGUGCAAGCGUUAAUCGGAAUUACUGGGCGUAAAGCGAGCGUAGGUGGCUUGAUAAGUCAGAUGUGAAAGCCCCGGGCUUAACCUGGGAACGGCAUCUGAUACUGUUAGGCUAGAGUAGGUGAGAGGAAGGUAGAAUUCCAGGUGUAGCGGUGAAAUGCGUAGAGAUCUGGAGGAAUACCGAUGGCGAAGGCAGCCUUCUGGCAUCAUACUGACACUGAGGUUCGAAAGCGUGGGUAGCAAACA